CAGUCGCCGCGGGAACACGAAGGGGGCUAGCGUUGUUCGGAUUUACUGGGCGUAAAGCGCACGUAGGCGGACUUUUAAGUCAGGGGUGAAAUGCCAAGGCUCAACCUUGGAACUGCCUUUGAUACUGGAAGUCUUGAGUGUGGAAGAGGUUGGUGGAACUGCGAGUGUAGAGGUGAAAUUCGUAGAUAUUCGCAAGAACACCAGUGGCGAAGGCGGCCAACUGGUCCAUUACUGACGCUGAGGUGCGAAAGCGUGGGGAGCAAACAGGAUUAGAUACCCCUGUAGUCCCUGUCUCUUAUAC
RNAcentral lists this ribosomal RNA (301 nucleotides) under uncultured bacterium. Its description in RNAcentral is "partial 16S ribosomal RNA". It matches the Rfam family "Bacterial small subunit ribosomal RNA", at positions 509 to 807 of the family's 1533-position model. The record is from RNAcentral.